Molecule: ribosomal RNA, 1346 nt
Filed under: uncultured bacterium
Lineage: Bacteria
Description: partial 16S ribosomal RNA
Rfam family: Bacterial small subunit ribosomal RNA
Source: RNAcentral
GACGAACGCUGGCGGCGUGCUUAACACAUGCAAGUCGAACGGAAAGGCCCUGCUUUUGUGGGGUGCUCGAGUGGCGAACGGGUGAGUAACACGUGAGUAACCUGCCCUUGACUUUGGGAUAACUUCAGGAAACUGGGGCUAAUACCGGAUAGGAGCUCCUGCUGCAUGGUGGGGGUUGGAAAGUUUCGGCGGUUGGGGAUGGACUCGCGGCUUAUCAGCUUGUUGGUGGGGUAGUGGCUUACCAAGGCUUUGACGGGUAGCCGGCCUGAGAGGGUGACCGGCCACAUUGGGACUGAGAUACGGCCCACACUCCUACGGGAGGCAGCAGUGGGGAAUAUUGCACAAUGGGCGGAAGCCUGAUGCAGCAACGCCGCGUGCGGGAUGACGGCCUUCGGGUUGUAAACCGCUUUCGCCUGUGACGAAGCGUGAGUGACGGUAAUGGGUAAAGAAGCACCGGCUAACUACGUGCCAGCAGCCGCGGUGAUACGUAUGGUGCGAGCGUUGUCCGGAUUUAUUGGGCGUAAAGGGCUCGUAGGUGGUUGAUCGCGUCGGAAGUGUAAUCUUGGGGCUUAACCCUGAGCGUGCUUUCGAUACGGGUUGACUUGAGGAAGGUAGGGGAGAAUGGAAUUCCUGGUGGAGCGGUGGAAUGCGCAGAUAUCAGGAGGAACACCAGUGGCGAAGGCGGUUCUCUGGGCCUUUCCUGACGCUGAGGAGCGAAAGCGUGGGGAGCGAACAGGCUUAGAUACCCUGGUAGUCCACGCUGUAAACGGUGGGUACUAGGUGUGGGGUCCAUUCCACGGGUUCCGUGCCGUAGCUAACGCUUUAAGUACCCCGCCUGGGGAGUACGGCCGCAAGGCUAAAACUCAAAGGAAUUGACGGGGCCCCGCACAAGCGGCGGAGCAUGCGGAUUAAUUCGAUGCAACGCGUAGAACCUUACCUGGGUUUGACAUGGAUCGGGAGUGCUCAGAGAUGGGUGUGCCUCUUUUGGGGUCGGUUCACAGGUGGUGCAUGGCUGUCGUCAGCUCGUGUCGUGAGAUGUUGGGUUAAGUCCCGCAACGAGCGCAACCCUUGUUCACUGUUGCCAGCACGUUAUGGUGGGGACUCAGUGGAGACCGCCGGGGUCAACUCGGAGGAAGGUGGGGGUGACGUCAAGUCAUCAUGCCCCUUAUGUCCAGGGCUUCACGCAUGCUACAAUGGCUGGUACAGAGAGUGGCGAGCCUGUGAGGGUGAGCGAAUCUCGGAAAGCCGGUCUCAGUUCGGAUUGGGGUCUGCAACUCGACCUCAUGAAGUCGGAGUCGCUAGUAAUCGCAGAUCAGCAACGCUGCGGUGAAUACGUUCCCAGGGCU